UAGUGAGUUUGAUCCUGGCUCAGGGUGAACGCUGGCGGCGUGCUUAAGACAUGCGAGUCGAACGGCAGUCUUCGGACUGUAGUGGCGCACGGGUGAGUAACGCGUAACUGACCUACCCCAAAGUCGCGGAUAACGGUUCGAAAGAAUCGCUAAUACGUGAUGUGCUGUCAGAUCUUGUUCUGCCAGUUAAAGAUUUUAUUGCUUUGGGGAUGGGGGUUGCGUUCCAUCAGCUAGUUGGUAGGGUAAACGGCCUACCAAGGCGACGACGGAUAGCCGGCCUGAGAGGGU
This 288-nucleotide ribosomal RNA is filed under the name uncultured Deinococcus sp. Its description in RNAcentral is "partial 16S ribosomal RNA". It matches the Rfam family "Bacterial small subunit ribosomal RNA", at positions 1 to 301 of the family's 1533-position model. Lineage: Bacteria; Thermotogati; Deinococcota; Deinococci; Deinococcales; Deinococcaceae. The record is from RNAcentral.